CGAACGGGUGAGUAAUGCGUGACCAACCUGCCCCAUGCUCCAGAAUAGCUCUUGGAAACGGGUGGUAAUGCUGGAUGCUCCAACUUGACGCAUGUCUUGUUGGGAAAGUGUUUAGUGGCAUGGGAUGGGGUCGCGUCCUAUCAGCUUGUAGGCGGGGUAAUGGCCCACCUAGGCUUCGACGGGUAGCCGGCCUGAGAGGGCGGACGGCCACAUUGGGACUGAGAUACGGCCCAAACUCCUACGGGAGGCAGCAGAU
RNAcentral lists this ribosomal RNA (256 nucleotides) under uncultured Gardnerella sp. RNAcentral's name for it is "partial 16S ribosomal RNA". It matches the Rfam family "Bacterial small subunit ribosomal RNA", at positions 99 to 354 of the family's 1533-position model. Lineage: Bacteria; Bacillati; Actinomycetota; Actinomycetes; Bifidobacteriales; Bifidobacteriaceae. The record is from RNAcentral.